Molecule: ribosomal RNA, 432 nt
Filed under: uncultured bacterium
Lineage: Bacteria
Description: partial 16S ribosomal RNA
Rfam family: Bacterial small subunit ribosomal RNA
Source: RNAcentral
AACGAACGCUGGCGGCAUGCCUAACACAUGCAAGUCGAACGAGACCUUCGGGUCUAGUGGCGCACGGGUGCGUAACGCGUGGGAACCUGCCCUUAGGUUCGGAAUAACUCCCCGAAAGGGGUGCUAAUACCGGUUAAUGUCUUCGGACCAAAGAUUUAUCGCCUUUGGAUGGGCCCGCGUUGGUUUAGCUAGUUGGUAGGGUAAAGCCUACCAAGGCGACGAUCCAUAGCUGGUCUGAGAGGAUGAUCAGCCACACUGGGACUGAGACACGGCCCAGACUCCUACGGGAGGCAGCAGUGGGGAAUAUAGGACAAUGGGCGAAAGCCUGAUCCAGCAAUGCCGCGUGAGUGAUGAAGGCCUUAGGGUUGUAAAGCUCUUUUACCCGGGAUGAUAAUGACAGUACCGGGAGAAUAAGCUCCGGCUAACUCCGUG